This 924-nucleotide ribosomal RNA is filed under the name Triticum aestivum (bread wheat). RNAcentral describes it as "partial small subunit ribosomal RNA". Lineage: Eukaryota; Viridiplantae; Streptophyta; Magnoliopsida; Poales; Poaceae. The record is from RNAcentral.
AUGUCCUCCCCCACCGCACCCCUAUCCUCGCCUCUUUCCUUCCCUGCCUGCUGCCCUCCCUACGGCAGCUCCUCUGCUUCGGCCCGGCCCUCCAUGUAUGUGCCGCCGCGCCCCCACUCACCCCCGUCGUCGCGGCCACAGGGCCUCGCCUCGCCCGCCCCGCCCAAUGCCGACGCUGAUUCCGGCACCACGCACCCACGGCAUGACGCCACGCCUCGCUCGCCUUCGUCGAGGCCGUGCGAUGCAGCCCAAGCACGACCUGUCCUAUAUGGCCGAGCAAGAUCGAGGACGACUGCCGAUAAUGUUCUCCUCGUGUGCAAGCUCCGCACUGCACUGAAGCAUCCGACACAUGAAAUGAGAGAGGAGGGACAGAUGAGGGUUGCGGCUACUGAGCAGGCUGCUGGUUCAGUUGGAUUGAGACUUAUUCCUUUUAAUGAUCUGAGAAAUAUAUUUGGAUCAGGGAAGCAUGAAGCACAAGCAAUCAUCUCAGAUAUCGAAUCUCAAGCAUACAGAAAUAGGCUUGCAAAAUUCUUUAGUACUGAUUUAGUUGUUGCUCCUAACAAAGCCUCCAAAAUCUCUGCGAAGAGUUAUAGUAUGAUCCUGAACUUGCGAGCAAGAUGCAUAAAGAAAAAGCUUAUCAAGACUAUUGAUAGUGCUUCUCUACUGCUCGAUACCACCAUUGAACUGAAGGAGCCAGGGUGCAGGCGUUCCUCGAGAUAUUUCCAGUGGCCCCGCAGCCGAAGAAGCCGAAGUGGGUGUGAUUGGGCAUGGGAAAAUGCCCUUUGGAACAUGGUGUCAAACGUUCCCGUCCUUGGUCAUGGUGGCAAGAAUGAAGGUGGAGGGGAUGGAGGGGGUGGUGAGAAGCCAUGGUGGGGAGAGAUGCGGCGGCUAGGCCGUGGCGGGGAGAGUAGGCCGGGGGAAUGA